RNAcentral lists this long non-coding RNA (634 nucleotides) under Heterocephalus glaber (naked mole-rat). RNAcentral describes it as "lncRNA (ENSHGLG00000041684.1)". The record is from RNAcentral. Lineage: Eukaryota; Metazoa; Chordata; Mammalia; Rodentia; Bathyergidae.
GUGAGCCGGGCGGUAGAGUGGGCUGGUGGGUGAAAUGGAUGGGGCUCGACUCUGGCGCAGAUAGGGGAGGGGGGUGGCCCUGACGGCUUGGGGCCCAGGGUGGCAGUGGAGAUUGUGCACAGGGCCCGAGGUGGAGGUACAGGUCUCCAGGGCCAGAGGGAGGCCCCGAAAAAGAAGAAGGUGACAGGCCCGAUCCCCGGAGGACGGGGACCCGAGAAGGAAGAGUACACCAAAGAGGGCGUAUGCCUCAGCCCUGGAGUGCCACCAGCAAACAGGUGACAGGGUGGAGGCAUGAUGUUCUGCAAAGUCAUCUGGGCACCAGGAAGAGAAGCCAGCAGUAGAGCAGGCAAAGGAAGAAGCAGAGCAGCAGGAAGAUGAGUUCAUAGUGCAGAUCACAGAUGUCAGAACAAUAAGUCAAUAUCAGUUCAACAACUGGAGUGAAGAUUUCGAAUAUGAGGAAGAGAAAGAAGCAGAAGAAAAACUAAAAACACUAAACAAGGAGUUGAAGGAUCUGAAAAGGACCUGGACCCAGCAGAUGGCAGCUCUUGAAACCCCAGGUAGCCUUGACUCUACCAAGGUGGCAAGUCGCACGGAACACACUGAAUCAACCCACACCCUGAAUCAACCCAUACCC